AUGGAAAGAAUUGGCAUUUUGCUCACAUUAUCUGCUUUCAUAACCAUUCAUUUUCAAGUGAAGGCCAAGAGCUUUUCUAAAAAUGUCAUGGCAACAGUCAGAGAUAUCCAAAGGAAUGAGAUAAUUCUGGAACUGGAAGUGGAACAGCCAUGUCAGCACCCAGCCCAGGUUUCCUGCAGCCUGUAGGAAACUUGCAGUAAUCCCUGGGCUCUGCUUGGCACUGGAGAGGCCUCUGGAAACCGAGUACUGGCUUGGACACCUCCCUUCAGGUGAGGUGCAGAGACAAGCCAGAGCAGAACAAGCUGGAGAAAACAUGACUGGGGAGAGGAAAUACUGGGAAGAACUGGCAUUGUGCAGUACAAGCAAAGGAAGGCUGAGACAGCUGGUGUCGUGAAUGAGUGUUUUAGGCUGUUUAAAGAAGCUCUGGCAAAAGUAUUGGAAAAGCAUGUUUCAUAUAAAAGUGAAAGCCUGACGAGGUUCAUUGGCAAGGUUCAUUCUACUUUUUACUUGAUGGUUAAAACACACACAGAAAAACCAAACUAAAAUCUAAAAUCAAUCAAUCUAAAACCAAA
This 572-nucleotide long non-coding RNA is filed under the name Parus major (Great Tit). Its description in RNAcentral is "lncRNA (ENSPMJG00000005610.1)". Lineage: Eukaryota; Metazoa; Chordata; Aves; Passeriformes; Paridae. The record is from RNAcentral.